UUUGGCACCAUCUCAAGUAUAAUUCAAAUCACGAGGCAUUUGUUCAUAUCGACAAUACGCCCAUCGUGGUGUGGUGGACCUCAGUUUUGAGGCCGAGAGUCCUCUGGCGCCCCCCACAGAGCUCCUGGAGAGACUGCCCAGCUAUGACUGGCUUCUUCAAGGGGGCAGAGGACAGAUAUUCUUCCCGCCUUUGGAGGCCCCAGGGAGGCCCCAGGAGCAAAGGUCCUGGCUCUCGUUCCUGGAACACAGGAAGAACCCUGCUUCCUCUGUGGAGUCAUCUCUGGACCCUCCAGCCCACAGUGUCUCUUGUGCUGCCAUCCAUGAAUCUGAAGACAGAUGGGCCCCUCUGUGUGCCAGGGCUGAUGGAUGCUGGAGACACAAGUGUGCAGGAUUGUGGAUUAAUGGCUCUCAGGGCUGCCAUGGAGAAAUGCAUGAAGAUGCAAGGGGAGGAAGGAGGAUUCUUUCCUCUUGGAGGUGUUGGGGCCAGAAAGACUUCAGUAAGGGGGUGGCAUGGCCUCAGGGAAGGGACUUCCAGGAGGAGGGGGAGGCAUGCAGAAAGAGGGCCGAGGUUAGGGUCCCUGUCUCUCGUCCCACCCACGGUCCUCAGGGUGAGUCUCCAUGGGUGCUGCCAUCAGCCCUGGGCCAGUGCCUGGCUGGGGUCUUCCCAUCAUGUUGCUAACAGCUCCUCUGGCCAAGGUCAAGGUACCCAAGGGCAGGAGCCUUUUUUAGCCUGUCUCUGCCUCCUUUUAACUGUGUGACAUCCUCUCUGGACCUCUGUUUUUCUUAUCUAUAAAAUGGUACAAUUCCUCUCUAAGGUUUUGUUUCUUCAGUUGCAGGAUUCUAUCAGCUCUUCUCCUAAGCUCCACAUUUCAACUAAAGUGUUUUUGGCUGUUCUCUAGGAAAACCUGCCCCAUUCUUACCCUGGGCACCUGUUCACGUGGUCGUCUUUGCGGGAGAUACCCUCCUCAGUUGGCCUUCUGAGGGCUUUACCACUACUGCAGCCUCAGUUUCUCACCUGCACAUUGAGGAGGCUGGCUGGCCUGCAUGAGUCCAGAGGCCCUUCCUAGAAGCCCCUGCCUCUCUGUUCGGUCCCCUGCAGAGUCCCUGUGAUGACGGAGGAGGUGGCCCGGGAAGCCCUCCUCAGCUUUGUGAACUCUAAAUGCUGCUACAGCAGCACAGUGGCUGGAGACCUCGUCAUCCGGGAGCUGAAGCAGCAGACCCUCUGCCGAUACCGUCUGGAGACCUUUAGUGAAUCCAGGAUAAGCGAGUGGACAUUUCAACCCUUUACUAACCACUCUGUGGAUGGGCCGCAAAGAGGCGCCUCCCCCAGGCUAUGGGACAUCAAGGUUCAGGUUCCUCCGAUGUUUCAGGAAGAUACCAGGAAGUUCCAGGUCCCUCACUCGUCAUUGGUCAAGGAAUGCCACAAAUGCCACGGGCGUGGGCGGUACAAGUGCAGCGGCUGCCAUGGGGCGGGCACGGUGCGGUGCCCGUCCUGCUGCGGAGCCAAGCGCAAAGCCAAGCAGUCCCGGAGGUGUCAGCUGUGCGCGGGGUCCGGCAGGCGGAGAUGCAGCACCUGCUCAGGAAGAGGGAACAAGACCUGCGCCACCUGCAAGGGGGAGAAGAAGCUGUUGCACUUCAUCCAGCUGGUCAUCAUGUGGAAGAACAGCUUGUUUGAGUUUGUGUCUGAGCACCGGCUCAAUUGCCCCAGGGAGCUCCUUGCUAAAGCCAAAGGAGAAAACCUCUUUAAGGAUGAAAACUCGGUGGUGUACCCCAUUGUGGACUUCCCCCUGCAAGACAUCUCUCUGGCCUCUCAGAGGGGCAUUGCAGAGCACAGCGCUGCCUUGGCCUCCCGUGCCCGCGUCCUGCAGCAGGUGAGCCAGGGCUGAGGGGCCAUCUGUCUCUGAAGUCUCUUCCUGGGCUGCUGAGCCCUCUUUCCUGAGAAUGUCAGAGUGGAAGGAUGAGGAUGUGGCGCGCCAGACCAUUGAGCUGAUCCCCCUCACAGAAGUUCACUAUUGGUACCAAGGAAAGACUUAUGUCUACUAUAUCUAUGGCACUGACCACCAGGUGUAUGCAGUGGACUAUCCUGAGAGGUAUUGCUGUGGCUGUACCAUCGUGUGACAUAGCAUAGCUGUCCCCAGAGCCUGCCAUUCACGUUUGCCAAGGAGGAUGACCGACACUCUCUGAGUGUGUUCACUGUUGGCUGCAUUGGACAAUCACAUACAAACCCUGGCAUGUCCUUCCAGAAAAACCAGCUUAUCAUCUAUCAAGUUCCAACUGCUUAUGCAGCUCCUCUGGUGGAAUCUAUCACUCAUAUGUUUAGCCUACAAUAAUUCAGCUACACACAUUCCUGUAGAACAAAUGAGAAAAAUAAUUUAAAUGGCAAGGU
This 2386-nucleotide small RNA is filed under the name Pongo abelii (Sumatran orangutan). Its description in RNAcentral is "retained intron". Lineage: Eukaryota; Metazoa; Chordata; Mammalia; Primates; Hominidae. The record is from RNAcentral.